GCCCGGGUGGUGAAAUUGGUAGACACACAGGACUUAAAAUCCUGCGGCCUUAACGGCCAUGCCGGUUCGAUUCCGGCCCUGGGCACCA
This 88-nucleotide transfer RNA is filed under the name Candidatus Vesicomyidisocius calyptogenae. RNAcentral's name for it is "tRNA-Leu". It matches the Rfam family "tRNA". Rfam says of the family: Transfer RNA (tRNA) molecules are approximately 80 nucleotides in length. Their secondary structure includes four short double-helical elements and three loops (D, anti-codon, and T loops). The record is from RNAcentral. Lineage: Bacteria; Pseudomonadati; Pseudomonadota; Gammaproteobacteria; Pseudothioglobaceae (SeqCode).